CGAGCGAAGCACUUAUCAUUGAUUCUUCGGAAGAUUUGAUAUUUGACUGAGCGGCGGACGGGUGAGUAACGCGUGGGUAACCUGCCUCAUACAGGGGAAUAACAGUUAGAAAUGGCUGCUAAUGCCGCAUAAGCGCACAGGACCGCAUGGUCCGGUGUGAAAAACUGAGGUGGUAUGAGAUGGACCCGCGUCUGAUUAGGUAGUUGGUGGGGUAACGGCCUACCAAGCCGACGAUCAGUAGCCGGCCUGAGAGGGUGAACGGCCACAUUGGGACUGAGACACGGCCCAGACUCCUACGGGAGGCAGCAGUGGGGAAUAUUGCACAAUGGGGGAAACCCUGAUGCAGCGACGCCGCGUGAAGGAAGAAGUAUCUCGGUAUGUAAACUUCUAUCAGCAGGGAAGAAAAUGACGGUACCUGACUAAGAAGCCCCGGCUAACUACGUGCCAGCAGCCGCGGUAAUACGUAGGGGGCAAGCGUUAUCCGGAUUUACUGGGCGUAAAGGGAGCGUAGACGGAAGAGCAAGUCUGAUGUGAAAGGCUGGGGCUUAACCCCAGGACUGCAUUGGAAACUGUUUUUCUAGAGUGCCGGAGAGGUAAGCGGAAUUCCUAGUGUAGCGGUGAAAUGCGUAGAUAUUAGGAGGAACACCAGUGGGCGAAGGCGGCUUACUGGACGGUAACUGACGUUGAGGCUCGAAAGCGUGGGGA
This 705-nucleotide ribosomal RNA is filed under the name uncultured Lachnospiraceae bacterium. RNAcentral describes it as "bacterial SSU rRNA". It matches the Rfam family "Bacterial small subunit ribosomal RNA", at positions 63 to 767 of the family's 1533-position model. The record is from RNAcentral. Lineage: Bacteria; Bacillati; Bacillota; Clostridia; Lachnospirales; Lachnospiraceae.